RNAcentral lists this ribosomal RNA (208 nucleotides) under uncultured bacterium. Its description in RNAcentral is "partial 16S ribosomal RNA". It matches the Rfam family "Bacterial small subunit ribosomal RNA", at positions 568 to 774 of the family's 1533-position model. The record is from RNAcentral.
UGCGUAGGUGGCCUUUUAAGUUGGAUGUGAAAUACCCGGGCUUAACUUGGGGGUGGCAUCCAAACCUAGGGAGGCUAGAGUGCAGGAGAGGAAAGCGGAAUUCCUAGUGUAGCGGUGAAAUGCGUAGAUAUUAGGAGGAACACCAGUGGCGAAGGCGGCUUUCUGGACUGUAACUGACACUGAGGCACGAAAGCGUGGGGAGCAAACA